Molecule: ribosomal RNA, 464 nt
Filed under: uncultured bacterium
Lineage: Bacteria
Description: partial 16S ribosomal RNA
Rfam family: Bacterial small subunit ribosomal RNA
Source: RNAcentral
CUACGGGGGGCACCAGUGGGGAAUAUUGCACAAUGGGCGCAAGCCUGAUGCAGCCAUGCCGCGUGUAUGAAGAAGGCCUUCGGGUCGUAAAGUACUUUCAGCGGGGAGGAAGGGAGUAAAGUUAAUACCUUUGCUCAUUGACGUUACCCGCAGAAGAAGCACCGGCUAACUCCGUGCCAGCAGCCGCGGUAAUACGGAAGGUGCAAGCGUUAAUCGGAAUGACUGGGCGUAAAGCGCACGCAGGCGGUUUGUUAAGUCAGAUGUGAAAUCCCCGGGCUCAACCUGGGAACUGCAUCUGAUACUGGCAAGCUUGAGUCUCGUAGAGGGGGGUAGAAUUCCAGGUGUAGCGGUGAAAUGCGUAGAGAUCUGGAGGAAUACCGGUGGCGAAGGCGGCCCCCUGGACGAAGACUGACGCUCAGGUGCGAAAGCGUGGGGAGCAAACAGGAUUAGAUACCCGCGUAGUC